Molecule: long non-coding RNA, 14581 nt
Filed under: Triticum aestivum (bread wheat)
Lineage: Eukaryota; Viridiplantae; Streptophyta; Magnoliopsida; Poales; Poaceae
Description: long non-coding RNA (TAES_LNC012739)
Source: RNAcentral
ACGUUGGGCCUUUAGCCCAUCGGUGCCAUCAUUCCUCCAUCACAAGCCGCCCACCCCUAGGGUUCCUUCCACCAAGAGAGCAAAGGGGAUCGGGAGUCAGUUAUGCGCCGCCGCCUGCCGUGCGCCCAUCUCCACCAUCUCGCCGUCGCCGUCGCCGUCGGAUGCCUCGAAUGAGGAUCCUCCGGUGCUUGAGCAGAGGCGCCCAAAUAAGCAGCUCCCCCUUUGGGAGCUUGCAGCCCCCAAUCGAGGCAGCAGCAGCAGCUCCUCUCCGAGCUGCGACCGGCAAUCGAAGCAAUCAGGCGGCUCCUCUCCGAGCCGCAAUCCGCAAUCGAAGCAGCUCCCUUUUUAGUGGCUAAUCCGGAAGCAAAGCAGUCCUUUCCGGAUUACAGUCAGAAACAGGCCCUCUUUCGAAUUCAGUCUCCGAGUUUCCAUUGCCGGCGGGAACCUAGCUGAUAUAUACUGUAUAUAUCUGGCCUGGCGACAACCGCGGUACCCGCCAACAUCCUGAGGAGACCAAGUCGCGGCAACUCGUGAGCCUUCAGCUUGCCGAAUUUCGGAGGAGACUUGCAAAAUCCAUCCGAAUUCCGGCGAUGUCGAGCUCUCUUCGACGGCCAGCGGCUGCCAGACCCAUCUCCAAACCAUCCGCCAAGGGCCUCAACAGCCAUAACCGAUGGUCCUCUCUAGCCAAUCUGGUCAGUUACUAAUUAUCAUGUACAUCUUUUUUUCAUUGCCUGAGACAAUUCUUCAUCUAAAUCCUGUUACAAAUAGUACAAAGUAGGGAUCAUCAUAGUAGAAACGAGUGGUCAAAAUUGCUAUUUUGUGCGCGGAAAAUAGCACGAUUGCAGUUUUGCUGUUGGAAAGCAGCAAAAAUUACAGUUUUUUUUUCUUUCUGGAAACACGUACGAAUAAACAUAGCAUCCAGGAGACUGCAAGAAAUUCUUCAACUCUGAUUUUGUUCCAUGCUAAAUGCAGGCUGAGGAAGAAGAUGAAUCGGACCGGCUCAGCAAUUUGCCUGAGGGCGUGUUGCUCGAUAUUUUAGGGCGACUUGACAUCGCAGAUGCUGCUAGAACUAGAAUCCUCGCCAGACGGUGGAAGGAGAUUCCUACCAUGCUCUCCAAUUAUUUUAUAACAGUUGGUUCGUAUGACGAUGAGCACAAUAGAGGGUUGACCUGUGAUGAUGUAGCUCGGGCCAAUGCCACCGUCCUUGGAGCAACCAGGAGCUUGCUGGAAAGCAGGACUAGUACAAGCCUAUGCACCUCCAUUAAGCUCCUGCGCGUGCAAUUCUUCUUGGGAGAUGGAGAUGUUACUAGUAUCGGCCAGUCUCUUGCCAACACCAUGGCAAUGAACAAGGUUGGGUCAGCGGAAUUAACUCUCUUUACAAUGAAGGAAAGCACACGAUGCAGAAAGGACAAUGUUGUCACUUAUGGGAUGCAGUUUAAGUCAUUUUUUGACGCCUGUCCAAAGGCAUUCAGUGGUCUGGCAAGACUCAAGCUAGAAAAUUUGAGGCUAGCUGAAUCAUCGGGCUUCCCUGAAAUUCUCAGUGUAUGCAAGCAACUGGAGUUCCUCCGCCUGUAUAACUGCGACAUGGGGUACCUUUCUUUGCUAGAAGUGUCACACCCACUACUCUGUGAACUCGAGAUUGUCAAGUGUGAUUUUGAGAGGGUUGAUCUCGUGUGGCUACCAAAGCUCACAGUGCUGACUUAUUCUUGGUGGGUCUGUGAGCAUGAUCCUUUGUCUUUUGAUUAUGUCCCACUGCUCCAGACUCUGAGCCUCACCAGUAUGGCUCUUGCACGGCACAAGGUGCUCAAGUUAAGUGACUUCCUUGGCAAAGCCACCGUAAGCGACCUGCAUCUAAAUUUUCUGUGUGAAAAGGUUAGUGAAGGUGAUAUAAUCUUGUUAGUCAACUAAGUUUCCCUGUUUGCGCUACCCUUUAUGUUCUGUUCUUUAGGUUAACAGACAUAUUUUGUUUUCUGCAGAUCUGGGUUAAACCAGAAGAACCAGAUCAAUUGUUGCAGGUGUUCCACAAAUUAAGGCAUGUGACUUUGACCCACAUCUCUGAAGAAUGCGAUCUGAAUUGGACAAUGUUCAUUCUCCAAGGUGCACCGUACCUUGAGGAGCUAUGCAUCAAGGUAGUAAAGUUUUGUACCUAUAAUCUCCAAACAGUUUCCCUUUCUGUUUCAUGUGCGAGUUGCAGUGGAAUUGUCUAUCUCAACUUUCCUAUAAGCGCAUUAAAAUGUUGAGCUGGUGCAUAUGGUUUUAUUUUUCUUGCAUUUGUAAUUUUUGCCCGAUGAAAUGCAGGUGUGGGAUCAUCCAUGUGAUAUUAUAGAGGAUGAGAGGCUUAGGAAGAUGUAUGGGUUUAGCGAGGACAAGAAGGACGCAUGUGCAGUGUGGGAAGCGCCUGCAGAUUUCAAGCACCACAAUUUGUCUGUGCUCAGGGUCUUUGGGUUUCAGUGCGAGGAGAGGUUUGUGAAUUUCGUCAAAAGUGUCAUGGAAGCAUCGGUCGCUCUGCAGGACAUAUACUUGUGUGAGACGCCGGUGUGUGCGGACUGUGAGCACAUGAGGCAGAAUGACAGAUACCCGCGGACAAGCAAGCUUAGGACCAUGCUUAGGAACAUAUUUGACAGGGGGAUGUGCUCGCCUCUGAGGAUUCAUUUCCCACUUUCAAGAACAAACUGAAGGGCUCCCUAAUUGCAUUGCUGACUGAAACGCAGAAGGAAGGCAAACGAUGCAGAAAGGACGAUGUUCUCACAUAUGGGAUGCAGUUUAAGAAAUUUCUUGAUGCCCGUCCAAUUAAAAAGUUCACAAAUUUUAAAAAUGUUAAGGAAUUUAAUAAUGUUCCUGAAUUUUUUAAAAUAUUUUUUAAACCGAAAAAAUAAUAGGGAAUUAUGAAAUAUUAAUUCAGCAGAUUUAAAAAAUAUUCACAAAUUUAAAAAGACAAUCAUGAAUUCCAGUACUGACCCCAAAUUUUUAAAAAUCCAUUCACAAAUUAGGAAAUGGAAAUUUUAGAAAGUUUGCUAAUGUAAAUGAUUGUGUAUUGAAUUCAUAAUAUUCCCAAAUUUUGUAAAACUAUUUGCUAAUCUGAAAAAUGUUCACUGAUUAAAAUGGAAAAUAGAAAAAAUAGAUGAAAACUGGUGAAACCAAGAUAUAAAGCGCAAAAAGUAAGAGAAGUGUCGCACUGAGCGAGACCUCCCAUUCGGUGCUCUCAGCGCUGGUUAGCGUUGCUGGCGCUCAAACUCGACGUGUUGAGGGCCGGCGCAGUAAACGCGAAGCUGUCGCUCGAACAUCGGUCGCUCGCAUCACGUUUGACUGGUUGACCAGUUGGCAAUUGACUUUUCAAAAAAGCUCAUAGAAGUUAAGAAGUUGUAAAUCUGAAUAGAGUUCACAAAAAAAUGAUAAUAAAUCACAAAUUUAGAAAAGUUCACGAAAUUUGUAAAAAGUUCACGAAGUUUAAAUAAUCAUGAAUUUGAAAAAUAAAUUAGGAGCUAAUAGUUCAUGCAUCUGAAAGAGUUCAAAAUUAAAAAAAUCAUGAAUUAAAAAACACCUGCUAAAAAUUUAUAACUUUUAAAAGAAUCACAUAUUUGAAAGUGGUUCAUGGAUUAAGAAAACAUUAUUUUUUAAAACUGUUUACAAGAAAUGAAAAGAAAAGCCAAGAACGAAGAAAAAGGAAAAAGCUGAAAAAGAAAAGGAAACAAAAAAUAAGAAGAAAACCGAAGAAAAAACUGGAACAGGAACCAAGAAAACCAACUGGAAAACAUUAAAAAAAAACAUAAGUAUAUGGGACGGCCCGCUACAAAGCUAGCGUACAUGGGGGGAGGGGGUGCACCCCGUUGGUGCUUAAUGCGCUGAAUAGGAUUUGUGCACUGGGCUUGCACAUUGAGGGUUUAGGGGUCGCUAUGGUGGACUUCCCACGCCUUAUUCUGGGAAGAGUAUCCACAUAUAUAACACCCUUUUGCUUUAAAUUGUCGACAUGCCGCACAUGUGGUUACCCAGAUCAUUAUUGACAACUGUUGUGCGAUCAUUGCCUAUUUUUUUUUACUAGUUUUGAGUUAGUUGUUUCUGUUAGUUUGUCAAAAACAUCAAUACUUAUUUACUUAAAAAAUUAAACACUUCAUUUGAGAACAUAUUUUGAAAACAAAGCAGAUUUUUUUAAAAUCAAACAAAUUUUGAAAUGUAUGUGAGCAUUUUUGGAAAAAAACUCACAUUUUACAUAAAAUUUGUGGACGUUUACUUUGGAAGUAUGAAAUUUUGUUUGAAAUAUUUCCAGAAUUUUUAAAAGGAAAUCAAAUUUUGAAAUUGUAAACAAAUUGUGACACCAAAAAUUUUAGAAUCCCAUUUUUUGAACAUUUAUUGUAAUUAUGUUUAACAUGGACAUUUUUUUAUAUUCGGAACAUUCUAAAAUUUAGCUUUCAAGUAAAUUCAUAAAUUUUGCAAACAUUUAAAUAAAUGAAAACUAAAACAGGGGAACAAGACAACGAAAAAUAAAAAGAAAAAAUGAAAGAAAUCUGGUAAAUAAAACAACAAAAGGAAAACAAAUUGGAGCGAAACCUUCUAAAAGGUUCCUAAAACCGGAUUCCUUCUGUACGUCUAAUUGGGUCGUUUGUUUAACUAAUAUAUGAAGUAAGAACUUUCANNNNNNNNNNNNNNNNNNNNNNNNNNNNNNNNNNNNNNNNNNNNNNNNNNNNNNNNNNNNNNNNNNNNNNNNNNNNNNNNNNNNNNNNNNNNNNNNNNNNNNNNNNNNNNNNNNNNNNNNNNNNNNNNNNNNNNNNNNNNNNNNNNNNNNNNNNNNNNNNNNNNNNNNNNNNNNNNNNNNNNNNNNNNNNNNNNNNNNNNNNNNNNNNNNNNNNNNNNNNNNNNNNNNNNNNNNNNNNNNNNNNNNNNNNNNNNNNNNNNNNNNNNNNNNNNNNNNNNNNNNNNNNNNNNNNNNNNNNNNNNNNNNNNNNNNNNNNNNNNNNNNNNNNNNNNNNNNNNNNNNNNNNNNNNNNNNNNNNNNNNNNNNNNNNNNNNNNNNNNNNNNNNNNNNNNNNNNNNNNNNNNNNNNNNNNNNNNNNNNNNNNNNNNNNNNNNNNNNNNNNNNNNNNNNNNNNNNNNNNNNNNNNNNNNNNNNNNNNNNNNNNNNNNNNNNNNNNNNNNNNNNNNNNNNNNNNNNNNNNNNNNNNNNNNNNNNNNNNNNNNNNNNNNNNNNNNNNNNNNNNNNNNNNNNNNNNNNNNNNNNNNNNNNNNNNNNNNNNNNNNNNNNNNNNNNNNNNNNNNNNNNNNNNNNNNNNNNNNNNNNNNNNNNNNNNNNNNNNNNNNNNNNNNNNNNNNNNNNNNNNNNNNNNNNNNNNNNNNNNNNNCGCCAAAUCUAAAGUUUAAUGGUGUGUCCGGUGCGCUGCCCUGGCCAAAUUCUUUCAACAGUAAUGGCUUCACCUUUGAUAAGCUACUUUGUAAGUCUGACAACCAGCAUAUCAACGAUGGAGCCGUAUCGAGUUAAGGUGAGGAGGAGAUCCGUUAUUUUUCUUUCUGGUGUUUGUUGCGGUGGUGCUGGAGGCAAGUAACGAGCGUUGGGGUCAAGCUUAAGGGUGUCGUCGAUAUUGACUGUAAUUUUCUUUCUUAACGGUCUUUUAUGCAAACGCUAGCUUUCAGAUGUCUUUUUACUAGUUUUGUCAGGUCAAUGUCUUCGUGUGGUUUAUAAUUUGAUAAUUUUAUAUCAAUUAGACACAUACACAUACUACCAUAAAAAAAUAUGAAAAGUUUUUUGGAAGUAGUAGAGAGUAGAGAAAUACUAGUAGACGCUAUUUUUUUUAGAAAUACUGGAUCAUCUAUAAUUUGUCUAUAAUCGUACAUGUUGGACGGGAAUUGAUUAGCAAGGUCGAUUGCACAUUGGGUCUUUAGCCCAUCGGUGCCAUCAUUCCCCCAUCACAGGCCAAGGGUUCCACCAAGAGAGCAAAGGGGAUCGGGUGAAUAGCUCCCAUGCGACGUCGUUGGUGUGAACUGUCUCUCAUGCGACGUCGUUGGCUGUAAUAGCUUGCAUGCGACAUCUUCGUUGGAAAAAAUAGCUCCCAUGUGACACACCAUUUACGCGGCUAGUUGGCUGUCCGUUAGGCUGAGAUUUGGUUAGGACACUGGGGGUUAUGUGCUCUGACUGGUGGGGUCCACCUAUGGCCACGUAGUCAAGAGUCAACCGUCCACGACUCGACCGGCGACUGUGUGACCGUGCUCGACUCGCCCGUGCUGGACUGGGCGAGCGGCGCCGCCGUAAGCAACUUCUCCGGCAGUGGUUUCUUCUCCGCGGUGGUGGAGCGCAUUUCUCGGCAGCGGCAGAGCUAUUGCGAGGUGAGCCCGAAACCCUAGUCCCACUCCCCGAUCUGUGGCCUCAUGCUGCCCUCUGUUUCUUGGCGAUUUAGAAUCGGGCUCCAUUGGAUCCGGGGGUUGUUUCUUCUCCGCGGCCCGGUGGUGGAGCGCCUAUCCCUGCAGCGGCUAUUGCGAGUGAGUAUUUUCCAAACACUACUCCCAUUCCACUGAAUUUUGAAUAAAUCUGUGGCCUCAUGCUGCCCCUGUUGCUUGAUUGGAUAGGAGAUGGAGCGAGGGCUAGAUGAGAUGGAGCGAGGAGACGGGCUGCCCCGAGGAGACAUUGCUUCAAAUCGGUAAUGACACCCUCUUUUCUUGGCGAUUUAGAAUCGAACUCGAUUUGGUAGUGACUGCCGCCGCUGCCUGCCAUUGACAAAACAGGGGAGGUUCAGGUUCUGCCACCACAUUCGCAAUUAUAGUGGAAUUUUUUCCCUGUAAAGCCAAGCUCAGUGAUGGCAGUGUCCAAGACAUUGAUAGAGAUACCACCGUGAGGUUGGAUGUCGAUUUUGCAGAUGUUGAUCCCCAGGAAUUGGAGAUCAUGAAGGAGAAGGCCGUGGGCAAUUUGGUGGAGAGAAUUGGGGAGAGUAUUGUUUGGGGUCCAGAACAAGAGGUAUCUCUGCAACGUUUCGAUAACUAUAAUGGUGAAUAUGUGAGAAUUGAAGAUGGAGAAUCCAUGGUUGCUGAAAUUGAUCAGCAAGGAGGAUGGGCAAGCAAACAAGUAACAUUUUAUGCAGAGCUAAUUGAUCUGCAAACUCAUUCCAGAGUUGGUUAUGUGCCAUCAAAGAUGGCUGCACAGAUGGAAGAUGAUGAGUGGGUUUCACAAAAGAAGAUGUUGGCAUUGUUGACUGAACCGACUAUAGUAGCUGAAGAUACUGGGAUUGAUGCAGAUGGAGAGGAGGGAACCCAUGGUUCUAGGAAGAUUGUUGUUGACUGGAAUGUAGUAGAGUUGAAUGAAAAAACAGAUUUGGUCAUUACACCAAUAUCUGACAUUGAUAUGGCCGAAAUGUUUGGCAUUCAAGUUGAUGACAAAGAUAAGGAGAAGGAUGACAGUUCUUUGCCAGCUGAAGGUAACACAGGCCCUAGAAAUGCAAAUGAGGAUGAAAAACACCUGAUGAGAGAGGCUUCAGAUGAUGUGGAUGAUGCAGAUGAUAAUGAGCUGGUUUGUUUGUAUGACAAAGAGAACCCAGUUAUUGAGGUGGGAAAGUUGUGGCCAAGCAUGAAGGAGUUUAGGAUGUCUUUCAGGACCUAUGCAGUGAAAAAAGAGUUUGAUGCCAAGACUAUGUGGACUGAUCGAAAGAAAUUUUAUGCUCGGUGCAAAGGUUAUGAUGGUGGUGGCAAUCCUUGCAAAUGGUACUUGUCUGCCAGACUACAACCUGAUGGAAGUACAGUAAGGGUAAAUCAAAUACCACACCAGCAUACAUGUAUGACCACUUCACAGAGAGUUUCAAAGAUGACAUCACAGCUUUGGGUUACAGAGAAGAUUACUCCUAUUUUAGCCAAGACUCCAAACACUACUGCAAAGAGGCUUAAAGUUGACUUGGAGAAGUUGUACCCCAUCCAGCUGCAAUAUACCACAGUGUGGAAAGCAAAACAAAGGGCCAUGAAAUCAUUGUAUGGUGACUGGGCAAAUACAUUUAGGAUGUUAUAUAGUUUUAAAGCAGAGGUGGAGAAGAGGUCACCUGGGAGUGUAGUGGAGAUAGAUACAGAGGUAACAGAGGAUGGCAAGGUUUUAUUCAGCAAGUUUUUUAUGUGUUUGAAGCCUUGCAUAGAUGGAUUCAAAGCAGUUUGUCGUCCAUAUUUGAGCAUAGACUCAUCUUUUUUGACUGGAAAGUGGAAUGGUCAGUUGGCUGCAUGCAAUGCUCUAGAUGGACACAACUGGAUGUUCCCAAUUGCAAUAGAAAUGUUUCAAUCAGAGACAGAGGCAUCAUGGAUAUGGUUCAUGAUGCAACUGAAAAGAUGCAUAGGGCCAGUUUCUCCUUUGGCCAUCCACACAGAUGCAUGUAAAGGGUUGGAAAAUGCAGUAAAAAGUGUUUUCCCCCAUGCUGAGCAGAGGGAGUGCUUUGGACAUAUGUGGAUGAAUCUGAUAAAAAAAUUCAGAGGAGAUGAAUUUGGGCGCAUGUGGCCAGCAGCAAGAUCCUACACCAGACAGACACAUUCCUAUCACCUUGGUAAGAUAUUGACAUCAUGUAGUGAUAAUGAAUUUGCUUCAUGGUUGAACACCCACCAUUCUCUGUUGUGGUAUAGAUCAGGUUUUAAUACUGCCAUAAAAUGUGAUCAUAUCAAUAACAACUUGGCAGAAAGUUUUAACAACAAAGUGAAGCAUUUGAAAGACUUGCCUGUGCAUGACAUGGUGGACCAAAUAAGAAUCAUGAUCAUGCGUUUGUGUGAGUUGAGAGGAAAAAUUGCUAAUAUUUUGGAAGGGGACAAGCUUCCAGCAGUGGUACAACAGGUGGUCAACAGGAGUAGAAAUCUUUCACAUCUAUCUGUUGAGAAAUCUUCCUUGUGGGGUGCUGAAGUUAGAGAUACAAAGAGUGGCAAGAGGCAUGUGGUAAAUACUGAGUUGCAUGAGUGCACUUGCCAAGAGUGACAACACACUGGAAAACCAUGUGAGCAUUCCAUACUUUUUUUGGCAUCUAAACCCAGGUUAAAUAUGCACCCAUAUUUGCAUGAGUAUUAUUCAGUACAAAAAUUCAAAGCUGCAUAUGCAAGUCCAAUUCCUGCACUGACUGACCAAUCUCAGUGGCCUGAGGUGGAAAUAGAAUUUACCUUGUGUCCCCCUGUCACUAGAAGAAAGGCUGGGAGGCCUAAACAGAGCAGAUUCAAAGCUUGGUUUGAGAAAGGUGGUUGUAGUAAGAAGGGGGAAAAGGAAAAGGAAAAGAAUGAUAAGCCCAAAAGGGCUCAAAAAGGUAACAAAAAUAGGUGCAAGUUGUGUGAGGUACUUGGGCACAGAAUUGGUUCAUCCAAGUGCAUCUACACUCCUCAGAGGCCAAAGUAUGUUUAUGUUACUGUUUUUGCAAGUUUUUGAUUUUGCUACUUGUUCUAGUAUCUAACCAAGUCAAAUGCUUUAUUUUUUAGGAGGAAGCGUGCAGAAAAAGCCCCACCGCUUGUUGUUGAACAAUGCUGGCCAGUGAAAAAAGCAAGACUCAGUGGCUAUAGAAGGAAGAGCACUAAGCAGAUAAUGUUUGGUGACAAAGAUAUGGAGCUAACUGAAACUGUUACUGCUGAACAUGAGCUAAGUGUUUGUGUUUUGGACGAUGUGAUGCAUACUGAAUCUGUUUUGCAGACGCUAGGGCAAUCUGAAACUGUUGCAGAUGAAGCAACUGUUGUGCUGCCAUUCGAAUCUGCUUUGACAACUGUGUUGCCAUGUUUGGAGGUUGUGCUGCCAAGUGUUGAGUUGCAAACUGAAGUAGUUGAACAAUGUGUGCCAUCUACUCAAUCUGCAGAAGUGCAAACUGAAGAAGUAAGACAUGGUCAGGUGCAAAAGUUGAGGGGGCCAAAAAGCAAGAGCAUCAGCAUCAACAAACUAUGCGCCGUGGAACCAAACGGUGGAAAAAGCAGAAGAAAUCGAGUGGUAGAAAGAAGCAGAAGAAAUAGAGUCGAAAACAUUCAAAUUUGAUGUGAAAACUUAAGUUUGUUGUCAUUUGAUGUGAAAACUUAUGUUCUUUCAUGUGAUAACUUAUGUGCUAUGAUGUUGAUUUGACUUGAAAUAAAAUUCAAAUUUGAACCGAUAUUCAAAUUUGAACCUAUCUUCAAUAUUUUUUGAGUUCAUUUGUUUGUUCUGUGAUGUUGCAUCGUUUUAUGUACUACUAUGCACUUUAGUUCAUAAAUCCAACCCUUUUUGUGAAUUCCAACUCAUAGUCACGGACAAUGUUGACCAAACAGGCUCCAAAGUAAGGGAAAACGGCCCCAUUUCUAAGCAAGUUUUUUUCGACCUUCUCAAAAUCACCCAAAAAAGAUUUUCUUAGCUUAUAUUAUACCUAUAUAGGAUCAAUACGAAGUCUCACCUUUUUUUGAAUAAGUAUUCAUAUUAUUUAAUUUAUUUUUGAAAAAACACCCUUUAAUACAAAGUUAGCAAUAAAACAAGUUUAAAAAUUUUAAAUGCAAAAAUAACUUCAGAUCCUCCUUAGUCACUCUAAAAUGAAGCUAAGGUGAUGUUUUUGAUUUUUUUGCAUUUUCAAAAUCUCAAACCCUCUUCUCACUUCUGUGAACUCCAUGCAACCUCAGUCGAGAUAGUCCAAUUUGUGAAGGUUUUUUCAAGCAAAGAUCAUUAGAUCAAGUUUAUCAUUUUAUAUCAUAACUAUGUAACAUAAAAAGGCUAUAUGCGCAGGUUUUUCAUUUUUUAGAUUUUUUUUGAAUUAGUUAUACACAUUUGAAUGUUCGGUCAAACCUUUCAAAACCCCAUUGACUGCCUCCAAACCCCAUGUAGCCCUAGCGCCAAACGUCCACCGUCGAUCUAACCCUAACGCCAAACUGCGGUCGUCGGAUAGGCCUUCUAGAAGGAUUCCGUGGGGGCGAUCCGUGGGCUCCAAUCUGAUUGGCCACCGUUUUUUCUCUCUGACAAACAGAUAACGUUGAGCGGGGGAUCAUCUAAGUGACCGUUGGGCCGAGCGGAUCGGGCCCGGCAGAGCCUGGCGUGCGUGCGCACGGCCGUCGAGAGGGGGAUGGGCUGCAUGCGAGAGGGUCAAUGACAUGUGGGCCAUCCCUGUCCCAUGCAUGCCAUGCAACGUCGCAGCCUAGCUAUUCUUUGCUCGUGAACACCUAGCCCGCCAUUGCAUGCACGCAUCGACGCAGUAAAGCACGGCAGGGGCGCAGCGUAUAGGUACGUCGCAUCUAAGCUAUUUUAACAAAUGCAUGUUUGAACGAGACGGACGCGUCGGUGGUGCAGCUCCUUUUUCAGUGUCACGCGCGGAUGAACGAGCCUGUGCUGCCCGUGCCUCUUUGGAUGCUCUGGCCGCCGUUUUUUGAAUUAAUGCCCGCAAUUACUUAUGCCAGUGCGAACGGAGAAGAGAAAACGAUCCAGAAGGCACCGUGUACACAUUGACCACAGCUGCAACGCGGCUAUAAAAGGGCACCAUUUCCUCAUCCUCUCACACUCAUCUCUCAAGCCUCCUCCCCUUCUUCUUUUCGAGCCAAAUCCCACUCGAGCCACCAUGCAGUUCAACGGCCCUACCUACCGUCGCCCUCCCACCGUGCCGGAGAGGCAGUACCCGGCCGAAGUCGUCGUCGAGAAUAGCCUGAGGGUGUGGGCCAUCUCUAGGUGAAGGGGCCCUAGAGAGUUCGCUCGCUUCUUCCUCCAAGCCGGCUACCGCCACCUCCCUCCGGGCACUCCGCCCAUGUUCCACCUCCACGAGCAGUACGAUGGCAACGCCAACGGCCUCGUCAUCGGCCUCCACGUCACCUUCACCAACCCCUACGACGCUCACCACCUCCUCGGCCAGGUGUUCUGGUGUGGAUGCGAGUUUAUCGCGUUCACGACCUACAACAUCUUCACCAACUUCCACCACAUCUUCCCUCACCCCAACGGCAUGCACACCCUCCCCUACCAGAUGCCGGAGGAUGACGAGUGAGGGGCCCAAGGAGGAGGGGCCAAGGAGUGGCAAGGAGGAGGGGCCAAGGAGUUGUUCAAGGGGUGGGUCUUCUAUCUAUCUAGUUUGGGGCUCUAGUUUGUGUUUGUGUUGGUUCGGGCGUGUGUGCCCGUGUCUUUUAUAUAUCUAGUUUUAAUUAUUUUACUUUCAUGUUUUAUGAACUAUAUGUAGUGGGGGGAUGCCCCUCUAUAUGUUUUAUCUAUCUAUGCUACUAGGGUACCCGAUGCCCCACUAUCUAUCUAUAUGUUUUUUCGGUCCUAAAGUUUCUCCAUUGCAUUUUAUUUAUGUGGCCAUGUGUAUUAAAAAACAAUUGAUCUGGUAUCUAAAAUGUACGUUACCAAGAAAUUGACAAUAAAGAUUAUGUACUGUACUACAUAAUCAUACAGUUGGUAUACAAUGCAUUUGAAGACAAUGGGAAGAAAAAUGCUAAUUAUCUGGUGCUGAUGACAUGCGCAAGUGUUGUUUGAUGUUUAAAUCAUGCUUGCUAUGUCAUUUUUUGCUGCCAAACAUGGCAUUAGCGAGAAAGGUCAUUUGGGCACUGAAUGUAUUAAAGUAUACACCAUAUAUAAAAAUGUCUAGCCAAAAGAUUUGGGUGUACACCCAUGACCAAGUAUGGAUCCGCCCCUGGUUGUAAGGGGAUGCCCCUCUAUGUUGUAAGGAGAUGCUACUAGGGGCACACUAGAUGUCUUCUUUUUUGGGCACAACCUUUUUCGGUUGAAACACACGAGUAAAAACUUUGAAAACACCAUAGCACAAGUAAAAAAAUAUAUUAAGAAAUGGUGCUUGGUUGAAAUAAACUAGAACCAAACAAUUGCAACUUUUUUGGUUCACAAAGACUGCUCAAAUAAUUAUCUCAAAUAGCUUAUGCAUAAAAAUAUCUCAAAUAAUUAUCAGAUGAGUUAUCUCAAAAAAGGUGACUGCAGGAAACUUAAAAUUUGUGAAAUGAUCUAAAGCCGAAAAGAUAUAUUGAUGUCAAUGACCGUGUGCACUUUUUUUUGCACUCCUUUUAUCAAUGGGCCUGGAUAUGUUCUAUUCGGCCCUGCCUAACUUCUAUAUGGGCCUGGCCUUUUCGGGCAACUAUGGACGAACCUUUUUUUCCUUUUCUCCCUCUACCACUGAAACUGAAACUGAUGACGAACUGAAGAAAUAAAAAACGGGGCCGAAACAGAGUGGAGAGGACAUGCUGAAUUCAUACAGCGCAACACUUUUAUUCAAAUGUACAUAUCAUCCCGAUUACAAAUGAUGCCCAAUCUAUUCACUUACGACUAAUUAUCAUCACAUAAACAAAUGCGAGACCAAUUACACAAACAUAAAAAAGUGCGGCCAUGAGCCCCAUCAAAUUGCCCUGCUUCUGCAAUUUGAUGAGUUUCUUCAUCUGCUUGUUCAGCUUCUUCAGCUCUGCCGUCACUCCUGCAUCCCCCACAGUAGCACCAAUGGAAGGGCGGCCGCCCCCGAUGGAAUUGCCAGAUCCAGGGGCCCCGGAUCCAGAUGCGCCCGAUCCAAACUUGCCCAACUUCUCCGCCUCCAACAGUAAAUCGAGCUCCCCUGAUGCACCCUCUAGUUGAAUCCGCUCUAUGUACUCAUCUAGCCACUCAAAAUGGGUGCAUUGCUUCAAUUUCUGAAAUCGGAAAGAUGAACCCUAAAUCCCAAAUUCGAUGGGGAAAAAUGGGCAAAUAUGAAAUUGGGAGACAAAAACCAAAAUUGGCAUAUUGAGAAGUAAAAUCUCACCUUUCCCUGCUCUGGUUUGCUCUCGCAUUUCACGAAUUCCCGCCCAAGGUUGCCAUUCUUGUCGGUCGUUGUGACUAGCCGCUUCAGGGGUGCGAUACGUGGGCAUGCAGGGCAUCUUGUCAUGGGCACUGCGCCAUAGCGCGGCCAUGAGCGGCGGGAGGCUGAAGCGGAGCUCGACAUUGCUAGGUCGCGGCCCGGAACGGCGUUGCUGCGCGUUGUCGCCGGAGAAAAAGAACAACAACGGUCGGGGAGGGGGAGGGGGGAGGAUGGGCUCGGGUGCUGCACGGCUCGGGGCACGGCUCGGUGUCCUCUUGUACCAAUGCUGACCUGGAUAAGUUAGUGGGUCCCACGCUGUGGGUCCCGCUCACCUGACCAACGCUGAGUUGGAUAAGUUAGUGGGUCCCAUGCUGUGUGUCCCGCUCACCUGAUUCGAGUUUUAAACAUGUGUCUUUGGAUUAGGCAGCAGUGUCGCACGGGAGCUAUUUUUUCCAACGAAGAUGUCGCAUGAGAGCGAUUACAACCAACUACGUCGCAUGAGAGACAAUUCACACCAACGACGUCGCAUGGGAGCUAUUCACCCGAGGGGAUCGGGAGUCAGUUAUGAGCCGCCGCCUGCCGUGCGCCGAUCUUCCCCCUCUCGCCGUCGCCGUCGCCGUCGGAUGCAUCAAUGAGGAUCCAGCGGUGCUUGAGCAGAGGCGACCAAAUAAGCAGCUCCUCCUUUGGGAGCUGCAGUCCCCAAUCGAAGCAAUCAAGCUGCAGUCGGCAAUCCUUUCCGGAUUACAAUCAGAAACAGGACCUCUUUCGAAUUCAGUCUCCGGGUUUCCAUUGGUGGCGGGAACCUAGCAGCUAUUAUACAUAAAUCUGGCCUGGCGGACACCACGGUACUCGCCAAUUUUAAGAGGAGACGAGAUCGGCCUCAGCAAAUCCUCCCUCGAACAUGA